AUGGCCUAUUUAGGCCCAUACCCUACGUCACGGCAGCCUCCACAGAUGAGGCUACUGCCUCACAACAGCCUCCACAGGCACAGCUCCAUCGUUACAAUGGCCUCUUUAGACCCAGCUCCUGCCUCCCAGCCUUCUCUCCAGGCCCUGAACUUUCUCAAGUCGACCUCACCAGGCCCAGGUCAUGCUUCUUUGCAGCCUCUCCAGGCCCAGCUCCUGCAUCUUGGUGGCCCCUCCAGGCCCAGCCUCUGCCUCCCGUCAGCCUCUACAGUCCCAACGUCUGCCUCACAGCAGAUUCUUCACGCCCAGCAUCUACCUCACUGUGGACCCCCCAAGCCAAGCUCCCAACCUUUCAGCAGCUUCUACACGCCCAGCUCCCGCCUGCCAGUGGCCUCUUCAGGCCCAUGGGGCUCAUUCCUGACAACGGCCUUUCCAGGCCCAGUUUUUCCCUUCCGGCGGCCUCUCCGGGCCCAGAACCUCCUCAAGUCGGCCUCUCCAGACCCACUUGCACCCUCCGUGCAUUCUCUCCGGGCCCAGCUCUUCUUCCUGGUUGGGUCUCCAGGCCCGAUUCCUGCCUCUCAACAACCUCUUUGGACUCAGUGCCUACCCAUCUCCUGGCGGCCUUGGUCGGCCCACAGCUUCCUCAAGCCAAGCUCCCCAGGCCCAGGUCAGGCCUCACGGUGGCCUCUCCAGGAUGAGCUCCUGCCCUCCGAUGGCAUCUCCAGGCCCCAAAUGGUCUCCGGUCGGUGGGCUCCUCCACGCCAAGGUUGGGCCUCCCGGCGACUGCCGCAGGCCCAAGUUGUCCUGAAGUCGGGCUCUCCCGGCCCUGCCUCCCAGCAAGUAAGCAAGCUCUUUUGGCUCAACUCCUGCCCAGCUCCCAACCGCCUUUGUAGGCCCCGAACUUUCUCCAGCCAAGCUCUGAGGGCCCACCUCCUGCCUCCUGGUGGCCUGUACAGUUCUAGCACUGGUUGGAGAACAGCCUCUGCAGGCCCCGCCCUUGCCUCCCAGGGGCCUCUCCAGGCCCAGCUCUUGCCCCCACGGCGGCCUCUCGGGGCCAAGUCCCUGCCUGCCUCCCAGCAGCCCGCGUGCGGCCCAGCUCCUCCCUCACGGUGGCCUGUUGAUGCCCAACUCAUGCCUCUGGCACCCUGCCCAGAGGCGUGA
This 1158-nucleotide long non-coding RNA is filed under the name Homo sapiens (human). RNAcentral's name for it is "non-protein coding LINC01001:10". The record is from RNAcentral. Lineage: Eukaryota; Metazoa; Chordata; Mammalia; Primates; Hominidae.